RNAcentral lists this ribosomal RNA (520 nucleotides) under uncultured bacterium. RNAcentral's name for it is "bacterial SSU rRNA". It matches the Rfam family "Archaeal small subunit ribosomal RNA", at positions 345 to 866 of the family's 1478-position model. The record is from RNAcentral.
AACCUCCGCAAUGUGAGAAAUCGCGACGGGGGGAUCCCAAGUGCCAUUCUUAACGGGAUGGCUUUUCAUUAGUGUAAAGAGCUUUUGGAAUAAGGGCUGGGCAAGACCGGUGCCAGCCGCCGCGGUAACACCGGCAGCUCUAGUGGUAGCAGUUUUUAUUGGGCCUAAAGCGUCCGUAGCCGGUUUAAUAAGUCUCUGGUGAAAUCCUGUAGCUUAACUGUGGGAAUUGCUGGAGAUACUAUUGACUUGAGACCGGGAGAGGUUAGAGGUACUCCCAGGGUAGAGGUGAAAUUCUGUAAUCCUGGGAGGACCGCCUGUUGCGAAGGCGUCUAACUGGAACGGUUCUGACGGUGAGGGACGAAAGUUAGGGGCGCGAACCGGAUUAGAUACCCGGGUAGUCCUAACUGUAAACGAUGCGGACUUGGUGUUGGGGUGGCUUUGAGCUGCUCCAGUGCCGAAGGGAAGCUGUUAAGUCCGCCGCCUGGGAAGUACGGUCGCAAGACUGAAACUUAAAGGAAUU